UAAUUUUACUUUUGAAGGUGCCUGUGAAAAGAAACCACAUACUUCAGGGAAGAGUUAACACAUUGCACUGAUUCAAUCAACAAGGAUCAUCUUAGCUGGUUGGCUCUUUGUGAGGAAAUGGGCAUGGUGUAACCCAAGUAAAGCAAGUUCAUCUGCUGAAU
This is a long non-coding RNA of Lacerta agilis (Sand lizard), 161 nucleotides long. RefSeq lists it as uncharacterized. The transcript is spliced from 2 exons. Lineage: Eukaryota; Metazoa; Chordata; Lepidosauria; Squamata; Lacertidae. The record is from RefSeq and is a predicted model, not a curated record.